Molecule: ribosomal RNA, 471 nt
Filed under: uncultured bacterium
Lineage: Bacteria
Description: bacterial SSU rRNA
Rfam family: Bacterial small subunit ribosomal RNA
Source: RNAcentral
ACUCCUACGGGAGGCAGCAGUGGGGAAUAUUGCACAAUGGGCGCAAGCCUGAUGCAGCCAUGCCGCGUGUAUGAAGAAGGCCUUCGGGUUGUAAAGUACUUUCAGCAGUGAGGAAGGCGGGUACGUUAAUAGCGUGCUCGUUUGACGUUAGCUGCAGAAGAAGCACCGGCUAACUCCGUGCCAGCAGCCGCGGUAAUACGGAGGGUGCGAGCGUUAAUCGGAAUUACUGGGCGUAAAGCGCACGUAGGCGGACUAUUAAGUUAGAGGUGAAAUCCCAGGGCUCAACCCUGGAACUGCCUUUAAUACUGGUAGUCUUGAGUUCGAGAGAGGUGAGUGGAAUUCCGAGUGUAGAGGUGAAAUUCGUAGAUAUUCGGAGGAACACCAGUGGCGAAGGCGGCUCACUGGCUCGAUACUGACGCUGAGGUGCGAAAGUGUGGGGAGCAAACAGGAUUAGAUACCCUGGUAGCUACG